CCUAAUACAUGCAAGUCGAGCGGACAGAUGGGAGCUUGCUCCCUGAUGUUAGCGGCGGACGGGUGAGUAACACGUGGGUAACCUGCCUGUAAGACUGGGAUAACUCCGGGAAACCGGGGCUAAUACCGGAUGCUUGUUUGAACCGCAUGGUUCAAACAUAAAAGGUGGCUUCGGCUACCACUUACAGAUGGACCCGCGGCGCAUUAGCUAGUUGGUGAGGUAACGGCUCACCAAGGCAACGAUGCGUAGCCGACCUGAGAGGGUGAUCGGCCACACUGGGACUGAGACACGGCCCAGACUCCUACGGGAGGCAGCAGUAGGGAAUCUUCCGCAAUGGACGAAAGUCUGACGGAGCAACGCCGCGUGAGUGAUGAAGGUUUUCGGAUCGUAAAGCUCUGUUGUUAGGGAAGAACAAGUACCGUUCGAAUAGGGCGGUACCUUGACGGUACCUAACCAGAAAGCCACGGCUAACUACGUGCCAGCAGCCGCGGUAAUACGUAGGUGGCAAGCGUUGUCCGGAAUUAUUGGGCGUAAAGGGCUCGCAGGCGGUUUCUUAAGUCUGAUGUGAAAGCCCCCGGCUCAACCGGGAGGGUCAUUGGAAACUGGGGAACUUGAGUGCAGAAGAGGAGAGUGGAAUUCCACGUGUAGCGGUGAAAUGCGUAGAGAUGUGGAGGAACACCAGUGGCGAAGGCGACUCUCUGGUCUGUAACUGACGCUGAGGAGCGAAAGCGUGGGGAGCGAACAGGAUUAGAUACCCUGGUAGUCCACGCCGUAAACGAUGAGUGCUAAGUGUUAGGGGGUUUCCGCCCCUUAGUGCUGCAGCUAACGCAUUAAGCACUCCGCCUGGGGAGUACGGUCGCAAGACUGAAACUCAAAGGAAUUGACGGGGGCCCGCACAAGCGGUGGACAUGUGGUUUAAUUCGAAGCAACGCGAAGAACCUUACCAGGUCUUGACAUCCUCUGACAAUCCUAGAGAUAGGACGUCCCCUUCGGGGGCAGAGUGACAGGUGGUGCAUGGUUGUCGUCAGCUCGUGUCGUGAGAUGUUGGGUUAAGUCCCGCAACGAGCGCAACCCUUGAUCUUAGUUGCCAGCAUUCAGUUGGGCACUCUAAGGUGACUGCCGGUGACAAACCGGAGGAAGGUGG
RNAcentral lists this ribosomal RNA (1144 nucleotides) under Bacillus sp. (in: firmicutes). Its description in RNAcentral is "bacterial SSU rRNA". It matches the Rfam family "Bacterial small subunit ribosomal RNA", at positions 47 to 1176 of the family's 1533-position model. Lineage: Bacteria; Bacillati; Bacillota; Bacilli; Caryophanales; Bacillaceae. The record is from RNAcentral.